GGAUUAGAUACCCUGGUAGUCCACGCCGUAAACGAUGUCAACUAGCCGUUGGGGAUCUUAGUAUCUUUAGUGGCGCAGCUAACGCGAUAAGUUGACCGCCUGGGGAGUACGGUCGCAAGAUUAAAACUCAAAUGAAUUGACGGGGGCCCGCACAAGCGGUGGAGCAUGUGGUUUAAUUCGAUGCAACGCGAAGAACCUUACCAGGACUUGACAUCCAGAGAACUUUCUAGAGAUAGAUUGGUGCCUUCGGGAGCUCUGUGACAGGUGCUGCAUGGCUGUCGUCAGCUCGUGCUG
Molecule: ribosomal RNA, 294 nt
Filed under: uncultured bacterium
Lineage: Bacteria
Description: partial 16S ribosomal RNA
Rfam family: Bacterial small subunit ribosomal RNA
Source: RNAcentral